Molecule: small RNA, 36 nt
Filed under: Anaerobutyricum hallii
Lineage: Bacteria; Bacillati; Bacillota; Clostridia; Lachnospirales; Lachnospiraceae
Description: CRISPR_Spacer
Source: RNAcentral
AUAUUAUUAAUUAUGAUUUCAAUAAUGAAAAAGAUA